RNAcentral lists this ribosomal RNA (1227 nucleotides) under metagenome. RNAcentral describes it as "bacterial LSU rRNA". It matches the Rfam family "Bacterial large subunit ribosomal RNA", at positions 1481 to 2686 of the family's 2925-position model. The record is from RNAcentral.
CGUAGAUGAACCCGGUGAAUGGUAGAACCGGGGUAAGCGUGUAGGAGGAGGACCAGGCAAAUCCGGGCCUCACAUACUCUGAGACGUGAUACCGAGCCGCUUCAGGCGAAGUCAUUAAUCCUAUGCUGCCUAGAAAAGCCCAGUAGCGAGUUGACAUGGUGCCCGUACCCCAAACCAACACAGGUGGACAGGUAGAGCAUACCAAGGCGAGUGGGAUAACUAUGGUUAAGGAACUCGGCAAAUUUCCUCCGUAACUUCGGGAUAAGGAGGACCCCAGUAGCGUGACGAGACUUGCUCUCCGAGCGUGAAGGGGUGGCACAAAAUUGAGGGAAGCGACUGUUUACCAAAAACACAGCAGCGUGCUAAGCCGUAAGGCGCUGUAUACGCUGUGACUCCUGCCCGGUGCUGGAAGGUUACGGGGAUGGGUUAGUCCUUCGGGACGAAGCUCUGAACCUAAGCCCCAGUAAACGGCGGCCGUAACUAUAACGGUCCUAAGGUAGCGAAAUUCCUUGUCGGGUAAGUUCCGACCUGCACGAAUGGAGUAACGACUUCCCUACUGUCUCAACCAUAGACCCAGCGAAAUUGAAGUACGAGUAAAGAUGCUCGUUAGCUGCAGAAGGACGGAAAGACCCCGUGGACCUUUACUAUAACUUGAUGUUGUGUUUUGUCAUAUGUUGUGUAGGAUAGGCGGGAGACAAGGAAGCAUGGACGCUAGUCUGUGUGGAGUCAUCGUUGAAAUACCACCCUGCAUAUGGUGAGGCUCUAACCUAGACCCGUUAUCCGGGUUGGGGACAGCGUCAGGCGGGUAGUUUAACUGGGGCGGUUGCCUCCUAAAGAGUAACGGAGGCGCCCAAAGGUUCCCUCAGCCUGGUUGGCAAUCAGGCGUCGAGUGCAAUGGCAAAAGGGAGCUUGACUGCGAGACCUACAAGUCGAGCAGGAGCGAAAGCUGGGCAUAGUGAUCCGGCGGUUGCGUGUGGAAGCGCCGUCGCUCAACGGAUAAAAGGUACCCCGGGGAUAACAGGCUAAUCUUGCCCAAGCGUCCAUAGCGACGGCAAGGUUUGGCACCUCGAUGUCGGCUCAUCGCAUCCUGGGGCUGAAGCAGGUCCCAAGGGUUGGGCUGUUCGCCCAUUAAAGCGGUACGCGAGCUGGGUUCAGAACGUCGUGAGACAGUUCGGUCCCUAUCCUCUGUAGCCGUAGGUGAAUUGAGGAAAGCUGUCCCUAGUACGU